Trichosurus vulpecula (common brushtail) is the source of this 757-nucleotide long non-coding RNA. RefSeq lists it as uncharacterized. The record is from RefSeq and is a predicted model, not a curated record. The transcript has 3 exons. NCBI's taxonomy places the organism in Eukaryota, Metazoa, Chordata, Mammalia, Diprotodontia, Phalangeridae.
GUGAAGGAAAAGAGAAAGGGAGGGCUUGGGGGGAAGCCUGGAUGAGGGAGCAAGCGACUACCCGCCAGCCAGCCCUAACUAUAUCAACCGUCUCCAAUUGCCGAUCCUUAUCAGUUAGGGCUGUGGGCUGAGCGGAUCACCACUGCUGCCCUCCUCCUCUGCCCCAUCCGUCCCUUCCUCUUCCCGCUCAGCCCCCGCCCACCGCUCUCGCCCGGCUUACAGGAAUUGUCCUGCAUCAUCUUUGACACCUGUGGUGGAAGCCUUUGUUCUGGCAUUGAAGAUAUCUCUCAUACAAGAUCCCAGAAUAGAUGAACCAAUCACCAUAUAUACCAAUAUGUCAAAGAAGACACAUUUCAUAACCAGGAAAUAUUCCAACUGAUUGAAAAGAAAUGGUUGUAGAAUAUAAAACAUGACAUCUCCACGCAAAAUGAUCUGUUGAUAUUUACCUCAGUGACCAGGAUUGCAACCUGACAAGAAAGAUCAAGCCCUCUCCAUUCCAUAGUAUAUACUAUCGACUUAUCUCAGCUGGUUCAUCUUAUUUCAUUUUUUAGAGGUUUUGUUAUAUCACUUCUUUGACACUAGUAUGCUAAAUGUCCCUUUGAAGCUAUGUGAUAUAUAUACAAAAGCACAACUACCUUUAAAUCUACAUCUAAGUGUCAGCUAUUACUAUGUGGAAUCUAUAUUUUGAACCCUUUACAAAUAUAUUUACAAAUAAAUUCAUAUAAUCUCAGCCAAAAAUAAAUUUUCUUUCCCUACA